This 333-nucleotide ribosomal RNA is filed under the name uncultured bacterium. RNAcentral's name for it is "bacterial SSU rRNA". It matches the Rfam family "Bacterial small subunit ribosomal RNA", at positions 41 to 352 of the family's 1533-position model. The record is from RNAcentral.
UGGCGUGGUUCAGACAUGCAAGUCGAGCGCGACUUAUUCUGUAGCAAUACAGGGUAAGUUGAGCGGCGAAAGGGUGCGUAACACGUGGGUAAUCUGCCGUGAAGUUGGGGAUAACUCGCUGAAAGGCGAGCUAAUACCGAAUGUGAAAAUUGGAAGGCAUCUUCUGAUUUUUAAAGUUGGGGAUCGUAAGACCUGACGCUUCAUGAUGAGCCCGCGGCCUAUCAGCUAGUUGGUGAGGUAAAAGCUUACCAAGGCUAAGACGGGUAGCUGGUCUGAGAGGACGACCAGCCACACUGGAACUGAGACACGGUCCAGACACCUACGGGUGCCAGC